CUAACAGUGGUCGGUAAAAACGUUCAUUGUGAAAUCCGAUUCCGGUCAAUCAAUUUAUUCGUCGCGACGCCGUCUGUCGAGCCGUACCGAUCCAGACACGUUUAAUCUACAUAUUCGGGGACGCGCACACUGCUGGAUAUCGGGGAUUUCGGGGCAAUUUUCGCGGAUUACCAGCUUUCGUGCUGCGGAUUUCCGAUAGAUGGCGGCACGACAAGCUCGAUUUUACAUCCCCUAUUCAAGGGUUGGAUUGACGGGAUCCCCGAUACUAUCUAUCUUUUUAGUCGAUUAUCGGGAACUGCAUUUGAUGGAUUUUUGACAAUUUUACCCGUUAAAAUUGUUAAAGCAAAAAAUAAAAUUUAGGUAACUACUUUAUCGACAUUUAAUUAUUGUCAAAGUUGUUAAACAUUAGAAAUAAACAUUUCAUAUUUUAAUCAUUUUUUUUUGGUUUUCUAGAAAUGUAGAAGAAUUUAAUUAGUUUAAUCCACAAAAAAAAGGAAUUGUUAUGUUUGUAUUCAUAGCCGGAUAUAGAAGUUUUCAAAUUUCAUUUUCCAAAUAGCAAACGAUUUCGUGUGUACAUCAAGGGUCGUCUGGAACAUUCCCGAUAUUCCCUUUAUUAAAUUCCAAACGUACCAUCGAAUUGUGAACUGGUUAUAGUAUGUAACAUUGAGCAUUGUAAACGUAUCUUUUCGCCCGGAUUUAGAGCCGUACAUCAACUGGAGUUAACGGGAUACUCACUAGGGGUGGAACAGUGUCGUUACCGGCAGCUUUGUAUUCCAUUAAAAUCGGAUUACUGCAGUGAGAAAUUGGAGAAUAUAAAUUAAAUUUUAGAAAUCAUUGUUAAUUUAGUUAGAUGAAUCACAUGUUUGGAUGGGAAUAGGAGCCUCAUGGGACAAGACAGGUCGGUUAUUACGUCACGGGAACCAUAUACACACUCCGUUUCCCUAUUCAAUUAGGUAAUGUAAUAGUACUCCGCCGUCGCUGAACCGCUCUGCUGUUACCAUUCGGUUAAAAUUUAACGAUUUUGAAAGUUCGUGGUGGGAUAAAAAAUGUGCCACUCGAAAACCGGUUGGAACAAGUUCAGAGGCUGUAUUCAAAGUGGAGAGACUACUUGAUACGAAGCCCUGCUUGCUGGGGAGUUCUGAAUUCCUUAACAAGCAAUUUCUAUCGAAACCCCUUGCGUCGGGACCCUAGAAAUGCAUAUUAGGCAAGAUCACUCCUUCCAAUCCCCAAAUUGAGGUUAUGGACUAAAAUCGAAAUAUUACGUGAUAAUCGUUGAGCACUUGACGUUUCAAAUUUUAAUAAAUUUGAUAUUUUUGAAAAACAUGUAAUUACAUCCGCUUUUCCUAUUUCGCUGUAAUUUUUUUUCCAUGCAAAAAGCUAAAGUUACCUCCCGGAAUGUAGUAAUUUCAAUUACGAACUCCGAAGGGACGGGUAAAAGAGGAAAGGUUGCUCGCUUCUCGUUCAAAAUCCCAAUAAUAUUCGUAAAGCGAGGCUUUUUGAAGUGCUCCGUACAACCUUCUAGAAAAGAGAGUUCCAGAUUUACUUUUCUAACCUGAUAUUGCGAUUUUACAACGUUGGAAAAUGGCUCGAGAAAUUUAGUGUCAAGCUUAAAAAGCUCGCACAAUCCGAGAGAGGAUAUAAAUUAACAACUUUUGUUGCUAAUGGUAAAGUUGACACCACGAAGGAUUUUAAGUAGGUCACGUUUUAAUGUAAUUGUUGAAGUUUUUAAUGACUAAUAACGAAAAAAGGAUUUAUUAUAGUCUCAGGAAAUAAAAUAUAAAAUUUAUAAUUAUUAAAUGGUAGUUUGUUGUAUAAAAAGACUAAUUAGAAACCAUUUAGGCUCCCUUUAUGCAGUUAAAAUGAAAAACCAUGGGUUGAGUUGGGUUUGAUGUUUCAAUUUUAAUCAAA
Molecule: long non-coding RNA, 1908 nt
Filed under: Onthophagus taurus
Lineage: Eukaryota; Metazoa; Arthropoda; Insecta; Coleoptera; Scarabaeidae
Description: uncharacterized LOC111417032
Source: RNAcentral